Molecule: ribosomal RNA, 470 nt
Filed under: uncultured bacterium
Lineage: Bacteria
Description: SSU rRNA
Rfam family: Bacterial small subunit ribosomal RNA
Source: RNAcentral
AGAAUGAACGUUGGCGGCGUGGAUUAGGCAUGCAAGUCGUACGGGCCGCAAGGCCAGUGGCGCAAGGGUGAGUAAGGCGACGGUAACCAACCCCAUGACUGGGUAUAGCCGCGGGAAACUGCGGGUAAUCCCCAGCGACGUCCCGGGGGGCAUCCCCUGGGGACCAAAGCUCCGGCGUCGUGGGACGGGCUGUCGUGGUAUUAGGUAGUUGGCGGGGUAAUGGCCCACCAAGCCUGCGAUGCCUACCGGGCGUGCGAGCGUGGCCCGGCACACUGGGACUGAGACACUGCCCAGACUCCUACGGGAGGCUGCAGUCGAGAAUCUUCGGCAAUGGGCGCAAGCCUGACCGAGCGACGCCGCGUGGAGGAUGAAGGCCUUCGGGUUGUAAACUCCUGUCGAGGGGAAGAAGGGUCGAAAGACCUUGACUGAUCCCUGGAGGAAGCACGGGCUAAGUUCGCGCCAGCAGCCGC